UGACGGUACCGGAAGAAUAAGCACCGGCUAACUUCGUGCCAGCAGCCGCGGUAAUACGAAGGGUGCAAGCGUUACUCGGAAUUACUGGGCGUAAAGCGUGCGUAGGUGGUUCGUUAAGUCUGAUGUGAAAGCCCUGGGCUCAACCUGGGAAUUGCAUUGGAUACUGGCGGGCUAGAGUGCGGUAGAGGAUGGCGGAAUUCCCGGUGUAGCAGUGAAAUGCGUAGAGAUCGGGAGGAACAUCCGUGGCGAAGGCGGCCAUCUGGACCAGCACUGACACUGAGGCACGAAAGCGUGGGGAGCAAACAGGAUUAGAUACCCUGGUAGUCCACGCCCUAAACGAUGCGAACUGGAUGUUGGGUGCAACUUGGCACUCAGUAUCGAAGCUAACGCGUUAAGUUCGCCGCCUGGGGAGUACGGUCGCAAGACUGAAACUCAAAGGGAUUGACGG
Molecule: ribosomal RNA, 448 nt
Filed under: uncultured bacterium
Lineage: Bacteria
Description: bacterial SSU rRNA
Rfam family: Bacterial small subunit ribosomal RNA
Source: RNAcentral